UUUUCUUCUUGUACUUAAGCCAAAAUAACAUUGUAAUAGAUUGAAUGCAAAAGUAGACAUUAGAAUCCAUUUGCCUUGUAUUAAAUUAAACAUUCAAGAGUUGCAAAAAUGUAAAAUAAUGCCAACUUUCCCACUGGAAUGUUUUUUUCAAAGUUAUUAUUUUUAAAUGAAUUUCUUAGAAGUUAUUAUUUUUAACUGAAUUAAUAAAUAUUUAUAAAAUUUUUCAGUUUUAAUUUCUAAUACAGUAAAUGUCAGAUAUAAUCUACAGAAACCUACAAAUGUCAGAUAUAAUCUACAGAAAUCUACAGAGUUCUUUGGGAUCCUCAAUCAUUUUUGUAGCAAAAGGGGUCUGAAGACCAAAUAAUUUGAGAACUGCUGGUCUAGAGGAAGAUGAUAGUGCCUGAAUGAAGGCACUCAGAUUCCACUUGUACUGGCUUUCCGCAGGCCUGUCUGCUUUGCCUGGAUCCUGUAUUGCCUCAGGAUUCCUACUGUGCACAUGGGUUUCCAUUCAGUGUGAAACUUAACCAUAUGUUCAUGUAUUGUUUUAUGACAUCUCUUAAUUGAUUGAUGUGCAAACAUAUUUUACAUUACUUCUUCAACUACAUUGUAAGUCUAGAGCAUAGGAAUUCUUAUAUUUUCUCUGUUGUGGGUUUUUAUUUUUAACCUCAGAAUCUAGUACAGUACUAUUUCUAUAUAGAGGUUAAACCUUAGACUGGAACUUUAAUGAAUAAAACUGAUCCUGAUCUUCCUUCUUACACAUCGUGGAAUUUUGGAGGAGAAAGGGCCCGUGGCCGUCAAAUAGUUUAGCUGCUUCAUUUCGUAGACGAAGAAUCAGAGGUCUUGCGAUGUGCCUUGUCAAGGUCAUGCAGCUUUAGUCAGUAGGAAUCGAGUCUGGUGACUUCUACAUCCUUCCAAUAUACCUUCCCACUGCCUCUUUUUCUUUUAGCAGAUUUAUUAAGUGAACUAAUAAUUAAGACAUAAGAUCAGGUUGAAACAAAACAACCUGAUCUUGCAUCUUAAUUUAUUAUUAUCACAAUUCACAUAACUUACAUUAUUUAUUUUCAAGUGUGCCUUUUUGUUUUUCAAAUGAAAGAGUCACCUAUGUAUUUGUAUAACAACUUGUGCUGAUGAAAUUGAAGUUUAAUAUCUAAACAGGGAAAAAAUUUGCUCAGGAUUGUUUCCUGAGUUUGUAAGCAAGUUGAGUCAUCUCGAAGAAGAAUGCAGUGUAAUGCUUUCAGUCAUAGCUUAACAUCUGUUUUCUUAGGAUGAGUGAUGGGUCCUGCCCAAGCUCUUUGCCAUUUACUAGAAAGUCAUAUAUUUGAGGCUCAGUUUUGGUCAGCUUCUUCAUUAGGGUGUUUAAAAUAUCACUUUCCAGGGUCCCAAGGCCAAGCCAGUGGUGUCCUUCAUAGCUGGUUUAACGGCUCCUCCGGGCAGGAGAAUGGGUCAUGCAGGAGCAAUUAUUGCUGGAGGAAAAGGCGGCGCUAAAGAGAAGAUCUCUGCUCUUCAGAGUGCAGGGGUGGUGGUCAGCAUGUCUCCCGCGCAGCUGGGAAGCACUAUCUACAAGGAGUUUGAAAAGAGGAAGAUGCUAUGAAGGAAAACAGAAGUUCCCUGAACCUGUGGAAUGAAUCAUAGAAAUGUGAGCAGCAGCAGUUUGCUUCUGUUACCCACUGAUUGGCAGCCGGUGUGCCUGUCUCUGGCCUUUCCAGGCAGCGCCACGUCAGGCAAGGUUUAGAAUGUCCUAGAUUGAGAUGAUGUCACCUCAUCGUGUAACAGAGACAGCCAAUAAAUCUACCUUUGAUUUGAA
Molecule: non-coding RNA, 1804 nt
Organism: Manis javanica (Malayan pangolin)
Lineage: Eukaryota; Metazoa; Chordata; Mammalia; Pholidota; Manidae
Source: RefSeq, a predicted model, not a curated record